CUACGGGGGGCAGCAGUGGGGAAUCUUAGACAAUGGGGGAAACCCUGAUCUAGCCAUGCCGCGUGAGCGACGACGGCCCUAGGGUUGUAAAGCUCUUUCAGCAGGGAAGAUAAUGACGGUACCUGCAGAAGAAGUCCCGGCUAACUCCGUGCCAGCAGCCGCGGUAAUACGGAGGGGACUAGCGUUGUUCGGAAUUACUGGGCGUAAAGCGCGCGUAGGCGGAUUGUUAAGUCGGGGGUGAAAUCCCGGGGCUCAACCCCGGAACUGCCCUCGAUACUGGCAGUCUUGAGUUCGAGAGAGGUGAGUGGAAUUCCGAGUGUAGAGGUGAAAUUCGUAGAUAUUCGGAGGAACACCAGUGGCGAAGGCGGCUCACUGGCUCGAUACUGACGCUGAGGUGCGAAAGCGUGGGGAGCAAACAGGAUUAGAUACCCGGGUAGUC
This 439-nucleotide ribosomal RNA is filed under the name uncultured bacterium. RNAcentral's name for it is "partial 16S ribosomal RNA". It matches the Rfam family "Bacterial small subunit ribosomal RNA", at positions 339 to 795 of the family's 1533-position model. The record is from RNAcentral.